ACAACUGCAGUGAAAGAGCUCAUCAAGAGGAUGACAGAUAAGCUCUACAAGUUAGUGUCGGAGGAACCGGAAACACCUGUCUCGACUGCAAUCAAAGAGGCAGCUCAGAGUGUGGAGAAAGUGUUAAAGGCACUGUCACCUAGCUCGGAAGAUAGAUGGAACGAACCACCCUUGAUCUUAGGCGCACAAAUGGGCCUUCAUGAUUUCGUCGGCAAGAUCCUGCAAGUGUGCCCGCAGUCAGCAACCUACCUGGACACGAAGGGCAGAAAUGUUCUCCGAGUGGCGAUAGAAUCUGGGAACCGAGAGACUGUAGAAACUAUCCGUAGGAUGACCCAGGGAGACAACCCCAUUUUACCAUCCUGGUUGUUGUCCAGCAUCGACUCUAAAACCAGAAACACCAUCCUGCAUUUUGCUUCUGAGAAGGUCGGUGAUACCGGAGACGAUGCAGUCCAAAUGCAAGACGAGAUACGAUGGUUUGAGGUUACGUACUCCCAGUGUUCGAUCAUAUGUCUCAUAAGAGAAAUAUUUGUCAUUGUAGAAUUCCAAGUGAUCAUUAAUUAAUCGUAUGCAUGCAGAUGGUGAAAGAGAUGGUGCCUAGGGAGCUCGUGUACAGUCGAAACACGGACGAGAAGACAGCACGGGAGAUAUUUACCGAGAGCCACAAAGAGAUGUUUAAGAACUGCAAGAGUCAGCUAAUGGAGAUGGGCAAGACAUGUUCAGGCCUCGUAGCGGCGGUGGUCUUCGCGUCCAGCUUCUCCAUACCGGGCGAGAAGGAUUCCGGAACCGGCAAUCCUAUGUACUUCAACAGGCUAGCCUUUAAAGUGUUCACGCAUGCGUACGUGAUCGGGUUGUCGUGCGCCGCCACGUCUCUGGUGUUGUUCUUGUCCCUCAUCAUCUCGCCUUACAAGGAGCAGCAGUUCCGCCGUGCCAUCCCCACCAAGUACUUCUUCGCUUGCUUCUCGUUUGGGCUGGCGCUGAUGGCUUUGUUGGUGGCCUUCACUUGCAACAUCUUCCUACAGAUAUAUGGGGGGCAGACAACACAGGCGAAGGACAUCCUUCAACUUGUACUGGAGCUGGCCGUCUUCCCCACUGUCUGCUUUAUUGUGCUCCUCUACCGUGGUGCCAAUUUUGGUCCAUCUUUUUUCCGUCGUGUUCGGAGUUGAUUCAGUAAGCAUUAAUGUCGGGCAUACUUCCUCGGCUUCGUGGACUGUGCCAGUUGAACUUUUGCGUGUGCGUGUGCGUGUGGCAUUAAAUUCUAUAAUUCCAGAAUUGUACUCGUAUUUAUUAGGAGGCUCCGAUGAAUUAGACGUAUUUUGACUUUUUCGAUGUGAAAUUUGAGUAUGCUCAAUAUCUUGUGCUCUUGUUUGCAAUCAUAAAAAUUCGUAACAUAUGCGCUGCUGUUCAUAUCAUUAACAAGCAAGAAAAAAAAUUUCAUGACUCUGAUUCAGAUAAUUUUUGUUCCAAUACCACUUGUUAAGAAAUAAAAGGAAAGAAACUAAAAUGCCAAAAAAAAGAAAAAAAGCAGAGCAACGAGAAGAAUUCUGUUUUUCUACGGUUUUUCUAAAUGGGACUAUACUAAUCUCGGAUCGACGAGGACCGCAGUGAGCGGUGUGAUCGCGGGCUACGGUGGGCGUGGUAAGGCCAGCGGCAUCGAAUGCGAGGGUUGCGGAGGGGCGACGCUGGCUUUGUCGCGAGCCAGCGGUUGGCACGGGCACGCGGCAGCGCGGCGGUGUGCGCUGGAAGCGCAGGCGCGCGAUGGGGCCACACGGUGAGGAAUCCAGCGGCGGCCAGAAGCACUCACGGGAGUUGGACCGGUUCAGUGAGGAACUGGUCCGGUUGAUUUAACCGAAGUGUGACUCAAUUUUGAGUCCGUUCCCGCAAGACCAAAUUAAAGCUAUUUCUCGCUUUAAUAAGGGUCGGUCGGAUUUGUUCUGGAAUUUAAAGCUUCAGCCGGCUUGAGACUAUGCCCCAACUUGAAGCAAAGCUGCGCACGUACGUUUGUCGGUGGAUGGACGGCAGGGGGUGCCAUCCGAUCUCCUACUUGGUGGAUUGAAUCUAGUGCGAUUGAAUCUAGUGCUUCAACUAAUGUUACCAAUAAUACUAAUAUUAUCAAUAAUACGUGGAUUGAUUUUAGUGCUUUAACUAAUGUUACCAAUAAUAUGCAGAGAUUUUUUCUCAAUCCGAAAAUCAAAGAAACAUAAGAGAUUAAUCAUUAUGAAAAAUCGUCUUAAAGCGAACUUGAUAUUAGUAGAGAUUUAUCGUCUACGCUUAGAGACAGGUCAUCUGAUAGAUCAUGUUAACACAUGUUAUGUUUAUACUAUUUCUAGAAAUUUAGUUUCUCUAUCUAGAAUUGAUGAGUUAGGAUAUUAUCUUUCUUUUGAUAAUGGUAAACUCAGUAUAUUUUAUGAUUCAAUAAAAAUUGGUUCUUGAAUUCUGUGUGAUGGUUUGUACUGAAUUAAUUUGGAUCUUGAGUUUGUAAAGAUAUUAUUGACCCUACAAUCAAAUGUUGGAUUGAAACUUAAUUUCAAUAAUGAAAGAUCUUUUGUAGUAGAGACGAUUGGGGCAUAUCUCCCAGAAUUAAAAGAUUAAUGAAGGAUAAUAUUUUGGAACAUUUAGACUUUACUGAUUUUGAUGUUUGUAUAGAUUGCAUUAAGGGAAGGCAAACUAAACAUAUAAAGAAAAAAUGCGAACUCCAUGGACCACUCCAUAUUCUUAUUUUAGUGAAUAAAGGUAUUUCAUCACAUUUAUAGAUGACCUGUCCAGUUAUGACUAUGUUUAUCUAUUACAUGAAAAGUCUCAAACCGUUGAUACUCUUGAAGUAUAUAUAAAUGAGGUCGAGAGACAAUUAGAUAGAAAAUUUAAAAUUGUCAAUAGGGGUAAUGAAUUUUAUGACAAAUAUGAUGGAUUUAGUCAGAAUAUUGGUCCAUUUGCUAGAUUCCUAGAAUAAUGAGGUAUUUGUGCUCAAUGUACAUUACCAGGUAUGCCAUAGCAGAAUGAUGUUGUUGAAAGACGAAAUCGUACUCUUAUGGAUAUGGUUAGGAGCAUGAUGAGUUUUUCCUCUAUACCUGAGUCAAUAUGGGGUGAAGCUCUUAGGACAACUAUGUAUAUCUUGAACAAGGAUCCGAGUAAGUUAAUUUCAUCAACUCCAUUUACGUAAUGGACUAGUAAGAAGCUCAGUUUGAGAUAUUUACAUAUUUGGGGAUGUCAUGCAGAAAUAAGAUUAUUCAAUCCACAUAAAAAGAAAUUGGAUUCAAAAACUAUUUCAGGAUAUUUUAUUAGUUAUCUAGAAAAAUCCUAGGGAUACAGAUUUUAUUGCCCUAAUCAUAGUAUGAGGAUAGUAGAAUUUAGUAAUGUAAAAUUCUAAAAAAAUAGCGAAAUCAGUGGGAGUGAAAAAUCUGGAAUGAUCAAUUUUGAUAUUGAGGAUAUUCAUGUUAAUUCUCUAAUAUCAUCUUCUAUUCGAGAUAUUGUUGUUCCUCGAAUUAAUGAAAGCAUUGACGAGGGUGAACAACAAAAUAAUAUAGAAGAACUCUCAUAUAAUAUUGAUGUCACCGCUGAUGAUCUUAUAGAACAAUCACAAUCGACAACUUUGAGAAGAUAUAAAAGAAAAAGAAAAUAUGAUAUUUCUGAUGAUUAUGUGAUACAUCUACAAGAAUCAAACUAUGAUAUAAAAAUAAAAAUAGACCUCUUAUCAUUUUCAGAAGCCAUAGAAAGUAACAAUUCUGAAAAAAGGUAUGAUACAAUAAACGAAGAGUCAAAAUCAAUGGUCCAGAAUGGUAUUUGGAAACUCAUUAAAUUACCCAAAACGUGACCCAGAGUCGGUUGUAAAUGGGUCUUUAACAUAAAACGUGACCCAACAGGCAAUAUCGAAUGAUACAAAGCCAGACUUGUGGCCAAAAGUUUUUCACAAAAAGAAGACAUCGACUAUAAUAAGACUUUUUCUCUAGUUUCUAGAAAUGACUCGUUGAGAAUCGUCAUGGCAUUAGUAGCUCAUUAUGAUCUUAAGUUACAUCAGAUGGAUGUGAAAAUAGCAUUUUUGAACGAGAAUCUAGAUGAGAAAAUUUAUAUAGAAUAAUAUGAAGGAUUCAUAGAAAAGGGAAAAGAAAGUUGGGCUUGUAAACUUAAGAAAUCAAUUUAUAGUCUUAAAUAAAUUUCUAAACAAUGGUAUAUAAAGUUUUAUAAUACCAUUACUUCAUUCGGAUUUAAGAUCAGUGCAUAUAUACGAAGGUAAGUAGGAGCAAGUUUAUUAUAUUGGUCUUAUAUGUGAAUGAUAUUUUAUUUGUCAGUAGUGAUCUUGGUUUAUUGCAUGAAACCAAGAUAUUUCUCAACAAGAACUUUAAGAUGGUUGAUAUGAAUGAAGUAGCUUAUGUUAUUGCCAUUGAGAUAUUCCGGGAUAUAUCUCAAGGAUUAUUAGAAUUGUCUCAGAAAUGAUAUAUUAAUCGUAUCUUGGAGAGAUUUAAUAUGCAACUUUGCUCAGCCAAUAAUAAACCUAUUACUAGAGGUGAAAAAUUCAGUCAAAACCAGUGCCUGAAAAAUAACUUAGAAAAUAAUCAAAUGAAGAAUAUUCCUUAUGGGUGCACAGUUAGAAGUCUAUUAUAUGCUCAAACCUAUAUAAGAUCAGAUAUCAGUUUUGCAAUUGCAAUGUUGGAAAGAUACCAAAGCAACCCAAGAAUGGAACAUUGGAAAACUAUAAAGAAAGUAAUGAGAUAUCUGCAGGGGACGAAAGAUUGUAUGCUCACAUACAGGAGAUCGGAUCAGCUUAACGUGACAGGAUAUUCAGAUGCUUAUUUUGUAAAUUGUCUCGAUAAUAGGAAGUCCACUUCAGGAUUUGUAAUCAUGUUAGUUGGUGGGGUAAUUUCUUGGAAAAGUGGAAAGCAAUCACUUAUUACAUCAUCAAUGAUGGAAGCUGAAUUUGUGACAUGUUUUAAGGCCACAAAUCAAGCUUUAUGGUUGUCAAAUUUCAUCUCAAGACUUGGUGUGGUCGACUCAAUUGUCAGGUCGCUAAAGAUAUUUUAUGAUAACACCGUAGCUGCUUUCUUCUCUAAGAAUGAUAAGAACUCUAGUGAUUCUAAGCACAUCGAGAUAAAGUAUUUAGUGGUUAGAGAAAGAGUCCAAAAACAACAAAUGUCAAUUGACAACUUAAGCACCAUUAUGAUGAUCGUUGAUCUAUUGACAAAAGCUUUACCAUGUAAAAUAUUUAAAGAACAUGUUCUUAGAAUGAGGCUUGUGAGCAAGUCAAAAAAGAUAUGGUGGUGUAUGUUUAGGUGGAUACUAUUAUUGAUAUUUUUUUACUUAAUUAAAAUUAUUUGUUUCUAUUAUCUUGUUUACGUUUAUGUUUAUGCAUAUUAUAGUUGAAUGUAAUAACAAGAUUGUCUUCACAAGAUAAAUUACAGGGGUCAUUAUGGACUAUAUUAGGAAAGACUAACGAUGAUGUGGUACAUAGAAGGGAGUAUGAUAUUGAUGGUAUACAAUUGCUAUGACUCGCAUUGAUAUAUUAUUAUUGUGUUUGUUGGACUUAUUGGCUUGUUUUAAAAUUUAUGACCAUGUAUAAAAUGUUUUUCAAAAUAAAUUAUUUUUAAACAAAUUUUAUUUUAUUUAUUUUGAUUUUGAAUAUCUUUUAUAUCUUAUCAAUUAAUGGGCCAAGCGGAAGAAGAAUGUUAGAUUUUGUGGCUCUUUAUAAUCGGAUAAGAUAUAUAUAAUAUAACUAAUCAUAUUUAUAUUGGUUAAUAGAAAAGAAGUCAUCUUAAUAAGAUAACCUUGAUGGGAGUAACUCUCUUAAUAACUCAUCUUAGACUCUCUACUCUCGAUUAUAAAUAGACAUGAUAUUUGAGGACUGAAUACAAGAAGUAAAAUAGAUUUUAUCUCAGUUAGGAUUACAACUCUCGUUAAUUAUCAAUCUAAGUGGUCAUAGGAAGAGAGGAGAAGAAUCUAAUUCAUUUUGUAGAUUCAUAGUGAUUAUCGCUUUGAGGAGGAUGAACCACGGCAUGCGCUGCGAGGAGGAUGAACCACGGCAUGUCGUGAACGUCAAACGCUUGUACUGGUUGUCCACUCUUAUUCAUGACCAGAUGAAAAAGGAGCUUCUCGAUGUGGCCACGAGCGAGCAUUGCGACCGCCCAGUCAACCUCAUGAACGAAACUGCUCCAUAUCGCCAUCGCUCGUAGGAAGACUGACUUGGGCUAGCGAUCCAUAUCAUUACCGUGUUACCAGAGGACGAGCUUGGCAUCCCUAAUUACAACGGCGACACACUCUUCAUGUCGCUGCCGCCGUGAGUGAUUAUUAUGUCGGAAUGUUUUUGUUUUUGACAUAGAACGAUCCCACUCAUCGUAAACAUUAAUUGGUCCUCUUUUUGAUGUGAUUAUUAUGUCAUUGAUCGACCAAAGAAGGUAAUGAUCAAUUUAGUCGAACAACACACGACUUCUUUAAGUUAAGAAUCGAUGACAACAGAAAACUGGCAAUUUACCAAUAAUUGGACCUUUCAAAUCAACCUGGAGAAGAGGGAAGUUUCUCCGAACAUUCUCAGAGAUCUGAGGCCAAAUGUUCUUUGGCCAGACUGACAAAAAGUUCAACAAGUCACGACAAGAAACACUGAUUAAAAAGAUUCAAUCUUUAAUUCUCCUUAACAUUCCACUACCUUGCACUUUAGUCCUGCUCAAAUGAGGCGUGUCUUCAAUGCCUAGUUGCAGCAGACGCUUGCAAGGCGCAGAACUCCUUGAUCUUCGGGGCAAAAGAAUCACCAAAGUAAUCGCUGCCGAAGACUUUGGCAAAACAUGGCUCGCCCAUCCUUUGCACAGCUCCGCAGCACCGUGGACUCAGGUUACUUGUGCCCGUGGACUUAGAACGGAAGACGGAACGAGCGCAUCCGCCAACGUAGCGUAGGGAGGACAAGCAUGCUUCGACCUCCGGGUCGUGAGACACCGGCGACGGCACCAUCCACCCAUGCCCAAGACACAGCCACCGUGCUUCUCCGACGCACGGGUACAAGCUUAGGGUGCCAGGGAUCUCCGGGGCUUCCGACGGUGAGGACCAAACCGCCAUGCUCCCGAGGAGCAGUAGCAGCAGUGGCAGAAGGUGUUCUUGCAGUUUCUUCAUGCUGCUACCAAUCGCAGUAGUAGUUGGUGGUGAAGAUAUACAUACCAUCAACAGAGGAGAUGGAUCUUUAGAUGACGUUACUUGUCUUCAUCUCAUAGGCUGCAUUAAAUUUCUCUCUUAAAUUUCGUUUACGUUAAUUGGAAUACACUGAUUUAUGGUUUUACCUAUGCAGCCAGAUGGAUUCAACUGUUUCUUUUCAACAUUUUAAUGCAACGUGAGUGACUUUUCCUAAAACAAUUAAUUUUGAGAAUUGCUUGAUUACUGUAAAGCAUUGAUUUGUUGGGGUCUUCUGAUGUUAUUGUGGGUGCAAUGCAUUAUGCAGUUUCCCCAAGAAUCCGACGUCUGGAGGAGAUAAAGAGAACCCACAGAGACGCGCUGCAACUUUUGUAGUCCACAAAGAAGAAUACGUGGAUUUCGCCCGGGGAACCAAUACAGGCGGCGGCCACACACAUACGACUGAUGACAUCGGCAAGUUUUAGCAGGAAUUGAACGCCCACCAGAAGCCGUGGUGAACGACACCGAGAAAGAAGAGAGCGACGAGAUCAGCUGGUCAUUACGUUUGCGGAAAAGCUUUUCGAAUUUGCAUACCGCAACGAUGACAAAAUCACAGCGGAGGAGCUGCGUAAGUGUAUGCAGGACGCCAUGGGGCACUUUCAGCUGACUCUGCUUGACGAUGGGACGAACCGCGCUGGUUCUUGGGCGAGAUGACUCUGAGGCACAAUACUAUUUUAUUAAGAGAAAAAGUAGAUUAAGUAUCUAUAAAGAUGACUAUGAGAGAGAAUCUUAUUUCAUUGUAUUGUAUCAAAAAGAGAGAUUCAUAAGUAAAAUAUCUAUAAAAGGGUAAACUAAAUUGACUAUUGAUUCUCGAAUAAGUUUCUUGAAAAAAAAAGAGAUUUAUUUUAAAUAUAGUUAAUAUAAUAUAUCUAUGAAGAUUAUAUAAACUUCAUAUAUUCGGUAACUUUUAUCAACGAUAAGAAUGAUUUUGAUAAAUUAUUAAUUGGAUUUCUUUAUACCACCCAAAAAGGUUUCUUUUCAGAUGCAUAAUAUAUAAAUGUUGACUACUUGAGAUGAAGAUUUAUGAAAUAAAUAGCGAAGGUCGCAAGAUGUCAUGCUAAAUAAGUUAUUUUUUAAAUUUGAAUGGAUAGAUAUUAAUAAAAGAAGUAAUCCUUUCAAAUAGUAUAAUAUAAUUUUAUAAUUUAUAAUCGCUGGAAGAUAAAAAAAGAAGAAGAAGCUAUAAAAGAAGAAGAUGAUGAAACGAGCAUUUAUGUUUGUUCGAUAUGCUACCAUCACUCGUUAUCGUUUGUGAUGACGAGAAGAAGGGACGAAGGAAAGAUAUUUACGUCUAUUCAUAGAUAGAUUUUUUUUUAAAAUUUUAAAAUAAGAUGAUAAAAAAAAAAUGGCAGGUUUGGGAAGAAAUUUAAAGUAACUUAAAUUGAGACGCCUGUUCUUUAUGUAAGCUUGACAAACACGAGUGAAAGACAAAGUGAAGUGUGUGCAGUUGUCCUUUUUCUUUUAGGAUUUAUUCAAAGACUGCAGCUUAAUUUAACAAAAGCCAUCGCAUUUGCCUAAUUUUGCUUUUGUAUAGGGAACGAAAGAACAAAGACACGUUGGGGAGAAUCGGCUUUUUGUACUUUAAUACCGUCGGAAGAGUUACCUAACAUAGCGAUCUAUGAAAGCUCGAGUAGAGAAUCUGAAGCUAUUACCCAAUGAGAAGCAAAGCUACUCGAUCAACUGGGAAUGAGGAAGGUGGCGUCUGUCGGUCGAUGGGGACCAACUUCAUCACCUUGUCUCCUCCUCCCCGUAGCCAUAUAUAUUUAGUGGCCGGUGGGAACGUAGCGAAAGGAGCGGCUCCCUUCGACGUGUUAUCGAUAUGGCGGCUCCUUCCAGCACCCAAAAGCCGACGCUUGCUACUGAUGCAGGCACCGGAUCAGGGACAAAAGGAGAGAAACAGCCGUCUGACUCCGGGAAAUCGAAGCCUGCAGAUGGCGAAGGUGAUGGUGGAUCAGAGGAGCCACCGCAUGUCCUGAACGUGGCACGCUUCCGCCGACUGAACUCGCUCAUCCACCGUGAGAACGUGGACGCGGACGAACUUCUGAAUCUUGUGGGGGGGGAUUACCGCGUGAACUUCAUGAAUGAUCCCCUGCUCAGCUUCGUCAUCGCCUGCAAGAAGCCCAAGCUCGCCGUCCGCCUCAUGGCCAAAAUAUCAUCAAAUGACAUUCUCAAGGCCAAAAACUUCAUCGGCGACACGGCGCUUCACGUAGCUGCCGCCAUGGACGACCAAGAAGUGGCCUCGGAGCUGAUCCGCAGGGUGCCAGAUCUCGUUCGUGUGCGGAACCGGAAGCAGGAGAUACCGCUACAUAAGGCGGCCCUGUACGGGCUGCAGGACAUGUUCUGGCUGCUGGUGGCCAAGAACAGCUCACCGGAAGCCCGGACGGAGGACGGCGACAGAAUGCUGCACUGUGCCAUCAUGGGCAAUGCGCCGGGUAACUAUCAUUACAUCCUCUUUCCCUUGUCCACGGUUCAACUUCAAUUAACAUCUCGGUACGCCUGCAGUACUCGCCUUGGAGAUCGCAAAGACUUAUCGAAUUCAGAUCGAAUCCCGGAAUGAGCACGCCCUCACUCCGCUGCAGCUGUUGGUGACCAUUCCAGAGGCAUUCCGAAGCCAAGUAGUUCUUGGGGCCCUCGACUCCUUCAUCUACGAAUGUGAGUGAUACCCUCCUCUAAUCCUUUUCCUGUACAUACAGCAAUAAUUCUCAUCUACGAUGAGGCUAAAAAAUCAAUUAAAAUGUGCAUAAGAAUAUUCGUAGAGCUCUUUGGUUUUACAUUUCAGGGAUUCCCUUGGAAGAGGACUCGAGUAAAAUGAACAAAAGGGAUGAAGAGGUGGCACUCAACAGAUCUGUAUGUGGCUUAUGCAUGAAUGACUUUUUACAUGACAUUGCUUCGAUUCAUGAGUACAUCGGUUACGUUUAGCUCUCUGAUUCGGUUCUCUCUGUGGCAUGCACAUGCAAUCUCAAGAGCAUUGGAGUAGCACAAGACGAUAACUCGCCGAGGGCUUUUCGCUCAAAAUUCCCAUCAAACUACAGCACUCUCUUUGACCUGUUGGAGUUGAUCAGCAUCCCAGGUACUCGUUCAAUCGUAAAGUGAAAGGUUCUUAAUCUAUCAUUUUAUGGUUAUUAAAUGUAGGAUAGCAUUGGUUUAUGCAUGCAUUUUGUCCUGCAGCUGGCUGGAUUCUGCGAUUUGUUUAUAACAUUAUAAGGCAAUGUGAGUUAACAGUUCUUACACACCUAUACUUUUCUUAGCAAAUGAUGAAUCGCUUAUAAAAAUUAAAAAUAAUUUAUGUUAGGUUUUUACGUUACAUGAUUAAUGAUAAUUGAAAUGCAUGCACGGGUGCAGUGUCCCCGAGAGUCCAACGUCUGGAGGGGAAGAAGAAGAACCAUACAGAAACAAUGCACCUUAUCGAAUACUUGGCCAAAGAAGGAUACUUCGAGUUCUUUGGGCGUGGAAAAGCUCCCAUCCAAGGUAGUACAUUUGCUUCACAAGAGCUUUACGGCCAAUUUGGUAUGCAUGGUCCACCAAACACUCAACCGGAGACUGGACGAGAAGGUGAUGCCCAAGAAAAGGACACGGAAGCCCCAGCUGCAGUGAAAGAGCUCAUUAAGGGGAUGACCGAUAAGCUCUAUAAAUUAGUGUCGAAGGAAUCGGAAACACCGGUCUCAAUUGCAAUCAAAGAGGCGGCUCAGAGUGUGGAGAAAGUGUUAAAGGCACUGUCACCUAGCUCGGAAGAGAGAUGGAACGAACCACCCUUGAUCUUAGCUGCACAAAUGGGCCUUCAUGAUUU
This 10924-nucleotide long non-coding RNA is filed under the name Musa acuminata (dwarf banana). RNAcentral describes it as "long non-coding RNA (MACU_LNC000944)". The record is from RNAcentral. Lineage: Eukaryota; Viridiplantae; Streptophyta; Magnoliopsida; Zingiberales; Musaceae.